Pimephales promelas (fathead minnow) is the source of this 195-nucleotide non-coding RNA. NCBI's taxonomy places the organism in Eukaryota, Metazoa, Chordata, Actinopteri, Cypriniformes, Leuciscidae. The record is from RefSeq and is a predicted model, not a curated record.
AAAGUGGUGAUGAUAUGUGUUGUGUUCACAGGGACAUGCUGCUUCAGGGGGGCUCAGCAGUGGACGCAGCCAUCGCAGCGCUGCUCUGCACUGGACUGGUCAACCCACAAAGCAUGGGCUUGGGUGGAGGGGCCAUCUUUACCAUCAUGGACAAAACAGGCAAAGUGAAAAUCAUCAGCUCAAGAGAAACGGUUC